RNAcentral lists this ribosomal RNA (483 nucleotides) under uncultured bacterium. RNAcentral's name for it is "partial 16S ribosomal RNA". It matches the Rfam family "Bacterial small subunit ribosomal RNA", at positions 30 to 506 of the family's 1533-position model. The record is from RNAcentral.
AUUGAACGCUGGCGGCAGGCCUAACACAUGCAAGUCGAGCGGAUGAAGGGAGCUUGCUCCUGGAUUCAGCGGCGGACGGGUGAGUAAUGCCUAGGAAUCUGCCUGGUAGUGGGGGAUAACGUCCGGAAACGGGCGCUAAUACCGCAUACGUCCUGAGGGAGAAAGUGGGGGAUCUUCGGACCUCACGCUAUCAGAUGAGCCUAGGUCGGAUUAGCUAGUUGGUGGGGUAAAGGCCUACCAAGGCGACGAUCCGUAACUGGUCUGAGAGGAUGAUCGGUCACACUGGAACUGAGACACGGUCCAGACUCCUACGGGAGGCAGCAGUGGGGAAUAUUGGACAAUGGGCGAAAGCCUGAUCCAGCCAUGCCGCGUGUGUGAAGAAGGUCUUCGGACUGUAAAGCACUUUAAGUUGGGAGGAAGGGCAGUAAGUUAAUACCUUGCUGUUUUGACGUUACCAACAGAAUAAGCACCGGCUAACUUCGU